Molecule: long non-coding RNA, 104 nt
Organism: Haliotis rubra (blacklip abalone)
Lineage: Eukaryota; Metazoa; Mollusca; Gastropoda; Lepetellida; Haliotidae
Exons: 3
Source: RefSeq, a predicted model, not a curated record
UCACUAAGCUGAUCGUAAUUAAGUCACUAAGGUGACCUUAGUCCAAUGUUAAAGAAUGGGAGUUAAGGUUAACCUUAGUAAAGGUUGCUUCGUGAAAGGAGCCC